This 465-nucleotide ribosomal RNA is filed under the name Vreelandella stevensii. RNAcentral describes it as "partial 16S ribosomal RNA". It matches the Rfam family "Bacterial small subunit ribosomal RNA", at positions 338 to 795 of the family's 1533-position model. Lineage: Bacteria; Pseudomonadati; Pseudomonadota; Gammaproteobacteria; Oceanospirillales; Halomonadaceae. The record is from RNAcentral.
CCUACGGGUGGCAGCAGUGGGGAAUAUUGGACAAUGGGCGAAAGCCUGAUCCAGCCAUGCCGCGUGUGUGAAGAAGGCCUUCGGGUUGUAAAGCGCUUUCAGUGGGGAAGAAAGCCUUGGGGCUAAUACCCUCGAGGAAGGACAUCACCCACAGAAGAAGCACCGGCUAACUCCGUGCCAGCAGCCGCGGUAAUACGGAGGGUGCGAGCGUUAAUCGGAAUUACUGGGCGUAAAGCGCGCGUAGGCGGUCUGAUAAGCCGGUUGUGAAAGCCCCGGGCUCAACCUGGGAACGGCAUCCGGAACUGUCAGGCUAGAGUGCAGGAGAGGAAGGUAGAAUUCCCGGUGUAGCGGUGAAAUGCGUAGAGAUCGGGAGGAAUACCAGUGGCGAAGGCGGCCUUCUGGACUGACACUGACGCUGAGGUGCGAAAGCGUGGGUAGCAAACAGGAUUAGAUACCCGAGUAGUC